CGGGGACCCGCACAAGCGGUGGAUGAUGUGGAUUAAUUCGAUGCAACGCGAAGGACCUUACUACCCUUGACAUGUCCGGAACUUGCCAGAGAUGGCUUGGUGCCCGAAAGGGAAUCGGAACACAGGUGCUGCAUGGCUGUCGUCAGCUCGUGUCGUGAGAUGUUGGGUUAAGUCCCGCAACGAGCGCAACCCUUAUCAUUAGUUGCUACGCAAGGGCACUCUAAUGAGACUGCCGGUGACAAACCGGAGGAAGGUGGGGAUGACGUCAAGUCCUCAUGGCCCUUAUGGGUAGGGCUUCACACGUCAUACAAUGGUCGGUACAGAGGGUUGCCAAGCCGCGAGGCGGAGCCAAUCCCACAAAGCCGAUCGUAGUCCGGAUUGUUCUCUGCAACUCGAGAGCAUGAAGUCGGAAUCGCUAGUAAUCGCAGGUCAGCAUACUGCGGUGAAUACGUUCCCGGGUCUU
This 463-nucleotide ribosomal RNA is filed under the name uncultured Thiobacillus sp. RNAcentral's name for it is "bacterial SSU rRNA". It matches the Rfam family "Bacterial small subunit ribosomal RNA", at positions 914 to 1382 of the family's 1533-position model. Lineage: Bacteria; Pseudomonadati; Pseudomonadota; Betaproteobacteria; Nitrosomonadales; Thiobacillaceae. The record is from RNAcentral.